UCUUCUUUAUGAUGAGAUACCAUUAGUUAUCCCUGUCUGAAUUAUAACUCUUGUGUUAUAACAACUGUUGAGAAAAAACAACUCUGAAAAAAAA
Molecule: non-coding RNA, 94 nt
Organism: Penicillium camemberti
Lineage: Eukaryota; Fungi; Ascomycota; Eurotiomycetes; Eurotiales; Aspergillaceae
Source: Rfam